This is a non-coding RNA of Vicia faba (fava bean), 273 nucleotides long. NCBI's taxonomy places the organism in Eukaryota, Viridiplantae, Streptophyta, Magnoliopsida, Fabales, Fabaceae. The record is from the annotation of a GenBank genome assembly.
AUGAAAAGGAAGAGGAAAGUGCUGAUUUAUGUCCGAAUACCCUCAAAAAGAAGAGGACUUCCUGCUCUAAUUGGUCGACAUCGACCAUUUCCCGUCACUCGUCAAGCUGCGGAGAGGUGGUUACAUCACAUGCAACAAGCAUUGGACACUACUCCAGAUAUAGAUGAUGACUCAAAGAUUAAAAUGAUGAACUUCUUCAGGCACACUGCUUACUUUUUGGUGGCCGAUGAUGAGCUAAAGAAUCCAAACCAACAGAUAUCGUACAAACUGUGA